RNAcentral lists this ribosomal RNA (296 nucleotides) under Staphylococcus hominis. RNAcentral describes it as "partial 16S ribosomal RNA". It matches the Rfam family "Bacterial small subunit ribosomal RNA", at positions 1 to 286 of the family's 1533-position model. The record is from RNAcentral. Lineage: Bacteria; Bacillati; Bacillota; Bacilli; Caryophanales; Staphylococcaceae.
UUUAUGGAGAGUUUGAUCCUGGCUCAGGAUGAACGCUGGCGGCGUGCCUAAUACAUGCAAGUCGAGCGAACAGACGAGGAGCUUGCUCCUUUGACGUUAGCGGCGGACGGGUGAGUAACACGUGGGUAACCUACCUAUAAGACUGGGAUAACUUCGGGAAACCGGAGCUAAUACCGGAUAAUAUUUCGAACCGCAUGGUUCGAUAGUGAAAGAUGGCUCUGCUAUCACUUAUAGAUGGACCUGCGCCGUAUUAGCUAGUUGGUAAGGUAACGGCUUACCAAGGCAACGAUACGUAG